GAAAAGAAAUCAACCGAGAUUCCCCCAGUAGCGGCGAGCGAACGGGGAGGAGCCCAGAGCCUGAAUCAGUGUGUGUGUUAGUGGAAGAGUCUGGAAAGGCGCGCGAUACAGGGUGACAGCCCCGUACACAAAAAUGCACAUGCUGUGAGCUCGAUGAGUAGGGCGGGACACGUGGUAUCCUGUCUGAAUAUGGGGGGACCAUCCUCCAAGGCUAAAUACUCCUGACUGACCGAUAGUGAACCAGUACCGUGAGGGAAAGGCGAAAAGAACCCCGGCGAGGGGAGUGAAAAAGAACCUGAAACCGUGUACGUACAAGCAGUGGGAGCCUCUUUUAUGGGGUGACUGCGUACCUUUUGUAUAAUGGGUCAGCGACUUAUAUUCUGUAGCAAGGUUAACCGAAUAGGGGAGCCGAAGGGAAACCGAGUCUUAACUGGGCGUUAAGUUGCAGGGUAUAGACCCGAAACCCGGUGAUCUAGCCAUGGGCAGGUUGAAGGUUGGGUAACACUAACUGGAGGACCGAACCGACUAAUGUUGAAAAAUUAGCGGAUGACUUGUGGCUGGGGGUGAAAGGCCAAUCAAACCGGGAGAUAGCUGGUUCUCCCCGAAAGCUAUUUAGGUAGCGCCUCGUGAAUUCAUCUCCGGGGGUAGAGCACUGUUUCGGCAAGGGGGUCAUCCCGACUUACCAACCCGAUGCAAACUGCGAAUACCGGAGAAUGUUAUCACGGGAGACACACGGCGGGUGCUAACGUCCGUCGUGAAGAGGGAAACAACCCAGACCGCCAGCUAAGGUCCCAAAGUCAUGGUUAAGUGGGAAACGAUGUGGGAAGGCCCAGACAGCCAGGAUGUUGGCUUAGAAGCAGCCAUCAUUUAAAGAAAGCGUAAUAGCUCACUGGUCGAGUCGGCCUGCGCGGAAGAUGUAACGGGGCUAAACCAUGCACCGAAGCUGCGGCAGCGACGCUUAUGCGUUGUUGGGUAGGGGAGCGUUCUGUAAGCCUGUGAAGGUGUGCUGUGAGGCAUGCUGGAGGUAUCAGAAGUGCGAAUGCUGACAUAAGUAACGAUAAAGCGGGUAAAAACCCCGCUCGCCGGAAGACCAAGGGUUCCUGUCCAACGUUAAUCGGGGCAGGGUGAGUCGACCCCUAAGGCGAGGCCGAAAGGCGUAGUCGAUGGGAAACAGGUUAAUAUUCCUGUACUUGGUGUUACUGCGAAGGGGGGACGGAGAAGGCUAUGUUGGCCGGGCGACGGUUGUCCCGGUUUAAGCGUGUAGGCUGGUUUUCCAGGCAAAUCCGGAAAAUCAAGGCUGAGGCGUGAUGACGAGGCACUACGGUGCUGAAGCAACAAAUGCCCUGCUUCCAGGAAAAGCCUCUAAGCAUCAGGUAACAUCAAAUCGUACCCCAAACCGACACAGGUGGUCAGGUAGAGAAUACCAAGGCGCUUGAGAGAACUCGGGUGAAGGAACUAGGCAAAAUGGUGCCGUAACUUCGGGAGAAGGCACGCUGAUAUGUAGGUGAAGCGACUUGCUCGUGGAGCUGAAAUCAGUCGAAGAUACCAGCUGGCUGCAACUGUUUAUUAAAAACACAGCACUGUGCAAACACGAAAGUGGACGUAUACGGUGUGACGCCUGCCCGGUGCCGGAAGGUUAAUUGAUGGGGU
RNAcentral lists this ribosomal RNA (1650 nucleotides) under Escherichia coli. Its description in RNAcentral is "bacterial LSU rRNA". It matches the Rfam family "Bacterial large subunit ribosomal RNA", at positions 216 to 1890 of the family's 2925-position model. Lineage: Bacteria; Pseudomonadati; Pseudomonadota; Gammaproteobacteria; Enterobacterales; Enterobacteriaceae. The record is from RNAcentral.